RNAcentral lists this ribosomal RNA (350 nucleotides) under uncultured bacterium. Its description in RNAcentral is "bacterial SSU rRNA". It matches the Rfam family "Bacterial small subunit ribosomal RNA", at positions 355 to 719 of the family's 1533-position model. The record is from RNAcentral.
UGAGGAAUCUUCCGCAAUGGGCGAAAGCCUGACGGAGCAAUACCGCGUGAGGGAUGAAGGAUUUUGGUCUGUAAACCUCUUUUCUCAAGAAAGAAGUUCUGACGGUACUUGAGGAAUAAGCAUCGGCUAACUCCGUGCCAGCAGCCGCGGUAAUACGGGGGAUGCAAAGCGUUAUCCGGAAUCAUUGGGCGUAAAGCGCCUGUAGGUUGUUUAGUAAGUCUGUUGUUAAAGACUAAGGCUUAACCUUAGGAAAGCGAUGGAAACUACUAGACUUGAGUAUGGCAGGGGUAGAGGGAAUUUCUAGUGUAGCGGUGAAAUGCGUAGAUAUUAGAAAGAACACCAGCGGCGAA